GCUGGSUGGAUUAGUGGCGAACGGGUGAGUAACACGUGAGUAACCUGCCCUUAACUCUGGGAUAAGCCUGGGAAACUGGGUCUAAUACCGGAUAGGAGCGCCUACCGCAUGGUGGGUGUUGGAAAGAUUUAUCGGUUUUGGAUGGACUCGCGGCCUAUCAGCUUGUUGGUGAGGUAAUGGCUCACCAAGGCGACGACGGGUAGCCGGCCUGAGAGGGUGACCGGCCACACUGGGACUGAGACACGGCCCAGACUCCUACGGGAGGCAGCAGUGGGGAAUAUUGCACAAUGGGCGAAAGCCUGAUGCAGCGACGCCGCGUGAGGGAUGACGGCCUUCGGGUUGUAAACCUCUUUCAGUAGGGAAGAAGCGAAAGUGACGGUACCUGCAGAAGAAGCACCGGCUAACUACGUGCCAGCAGCCGCGGUAAUACGUAGGGUGCGAGCGUUAUCCGGAAUUAUUGGGCGUAAAGAGCUCGUAGGCGGUUUGUCGCGUCUGUCGUGAAAGUCCGGGGCUUAACCCCGGAUCUGCGGUGGGUACGGGCAGACUAGAGUGCAGUAGGGGAGACUGGAAUUCCUGGUGUAGCGGUGGAAUGCGCAGAUAUCAGGAGGAACACCGAUGGCGAAGGCAGGUCUCUGGGCUGUAACUGACGCUGAGGAGCGAAAGCAUGGGGAGCGAACAGGAUUAGAUACCCUGGUAGUCCAUGCCGUAAACGUUGGGCACUAGGUGUGGGGACCAUUCCACGGUUUCCGCGCCGCAGCUAACGCAUUAAGUGCCCCGCCUGGGGAGUACGGCCGCAAGG
This 799-nucleotide ribosomal RNA is filed under the name Micrococcus sp. Its description in RNAcentral is "bacterial SSU rRNA". Lineage: Bacteria; Bacillati; Actinomycetota; Actinomycetes; Micrococcales; Micrococcaceae. The record is from RNAcentral.